AAUCCAUAGGUUAAUGAGGCGAACCGGGGGAACUGAAACAUCUAAGUACCCCGAGGAAAAGAAAUCAACCGAGAUUCCCCCAGUAGCGGCGAGCGAACGGGGAGGAGCCCAGAGCCUGAAUCAGCAUGUGUGUUAGUGGAAGCGUCUGGAAAGGCGCGCGAUACAGGGUGACAGCCCCGUACACAAAAGCGCAUGUGCUGUGAGCUCGAUGAGUAGGGCGGGACACGUGGUAUCCUGUCUGAAUAUGGGGGGACCAUCCUCCAAGGCUAAAUACUCCUGACUGACCGAUAGUGAACCAGUACCGUGAGGGAAAGGCGAAAAGAACCCCGGCGAGGGGAGUGAAAAAGAACCUGAAACCGUGUACGUACAAGCAGUGGGAGCCCCACCACUAAGCCAGUGGUGAACUCCACAUACGCAUCCUUUGCUGAGGAUGCGGUUAACGGAGCGAAAGCGACGUUCAACCGCAAAAGAAGCAGAGGGGGCUUAGUGGUGGGGUGACUGCGUACCUUUUGUAUAAUGGGUCAGCGACUUAUAUUCUGUAGCAAGGUUAACCGAAUAGGGGAGCCGGAGGGAAACCGAGUCUUAAUUGGGCGUUAAGUUGCAGGGUAUAGACCCGAAACCCGGUGAUCUAGCCAUGGGCAGGUUGAAGGUUGGGUAACACUAACUGGAGGACCGAACCGACUAAUGUUGAAAAAUUAGCGGAUGACCUGUGGCUGGGGGUGAAAGGCCAAUCAAACCGGGAGAUAGCUGGUUCUCCCCGAAAGCUAUUUAGGUAGCGCCUCGUGAA
Molecule: ribosomal RNA, 787 nt
Filed under: Salmonella enterica subsp. enterica serovar Oranienburg
Lineage: Bacteria; Pseudomonadati; Pseudomonadota; Gammaproteobacteria; Enterobacterales; Enterobacteriaceae
Description: partial 23S ribosomal RNA
Rfam family: Bacterial large subunit ribosomal RNA
Source: RNAcentral